CGCAAUAUAAUAUACUUCUAAGGUUACCGUUCUUUCUCAUCUUUCCUUAACUACCAAAUCCGAGCUUACGGAAGGCAAAUUUAUUUGAACACCAGAAAUAAAACAUAAGUUAAAGCUACAUGAUGCAGCGCACGUUUGUGUAUAGAUAGAUGAUCACAGACUGAGUUCUAGAGACGGCUCUGCCAAGUACUUCUAAAAUUUCUGCUCUAUUUCCUUAAUAUCAAGUUUUUCGUUUUAGUUUCACAUUCGGUAGACUUUAUGACACAAUUUAAAUUUUUUUAUAUUUUGGAAAAGACUAUCUAACGCAAAUGUGUAUUACUUCCUCACAAGUGCAUCUGAUAAUUUUGUUGUACAUACUUUUUACCUACCGUUAACGCUGGGGAGUGGGUCCGAAAGUACCUCCAGCUGGUGUACCUUUCACUCUACUUCCGCAUUUUGAGCAAUGACUUCUUUUACUCCCUUGCUUGACCUUUAAAUCUUUUCCUCGCGCCGCAACCGCGCCCCCCAGCCCCGUUCAGCAAUCCGGUUUUCUUUUUCACUUUCAGGUAAUCUUGCAUUACUCCCUAACAACCUUUGUAUAGCAAUGGGAGGUGAGGAAGGAGGGGUCACAGUCUACUUAGUGCGCUUCUGCCCCCAGGUUCCUCUGGCCAGGUUUGCACACCACGCCUCACCUCCAAUGGCAUGCCUUAGGUGCACAAAGUGCAGGGCUCGCAGGCAGCUCCAACUGCUUGUUUACUUGCAGCAGCAGCUGUGCUAGCAGCACCAGGAGCAUCCGCAGGUCGAGAGCUCCCAGUCAGCGGCGCACCAAAAAUGCAGCCGAGGUGGAGGGGGGGCGCAAGGCAAUUAGAGGAGCCAGCCCCGCCCCCUCCGCAUCCCUACACCGCUCCCCCGCCCCCCCGCACAUUCCCCCAGUUUCCCUCCCCACCCUCACUCCCGGUCACGCUCGGCAAGGGCUCGGCCCCGGGCGCCCUAGCCCUCGCACCGCCGCGGGCAACAUCGCCAUUCCUGCUUAUUUCGGCAAGGGGGUAAGGGGGAAGAGGCUGUUUCGGAGCCCUACCUGGCCCUGGCGUCGCCAGCUCGCCCCAAACGGAUUGUGCAGCGGCUCCAAAACAUCGGCCCAACCCACCACGUCGGCGGCCAGGGCCCCUCGUGACGUCGGCACCACAACAACAACACCGACAGCCGCCACCGCCUCAGGCGGCCUCCGAGGAGGGGGAGGGGGAGGAGAAGGAGGGCUGCCCAGGACCCGGCCGGCUCGCCUCCUCACCGCCGACCGGGGCGCGGAGCAUGCGCACGAGAUCCGGGAGCCCCGGGGCACCGGCCGGGCCGUGACGCCGGAGAUCAACAAGUCCCCGAAACGCCCCCCUCUCUUCCCCCGCCCCAACAUCCCCAGCUCCGCCUCCCGCGAGCAGCCUCAGCUUCCAGUCUCAAAUAACGCGAGACACAAUAUUUGCCGCCUCCCUUACCUUCUCCUGGAAUUGGUCAAAGCCUUCUGCCAAGUUUGAUGAUGUCUGGGCUGCGUUGGAGCCUGCUGCCAAGAAGGACAGAAGGACAGCCAGCACAGUGAGACAGAAAUUGUUACACGAUGGGCUGGCAAGAGCUAGAGCAGAACAGGAGCCAGGUAAGUGGGUUUGGAUGUGUUGGGUAUUUACUUGCUUCUUUACUCUGACCAGUCAAUGAUGUG
Phascolarctos cinereus (koala) is the source of this 1684-nucleotide long non-coding RNA. Lineage: Eukaryota; Metazoa; Chordata; Mammalia; Diprotodontia; Phascolarctidae. The record is from Ensembl.